This 503-nucleotide ribosomal RNA is filed under the name uncultured bacterium. RNAcentral describes it as "partial 16S ribosomal RNA". It matches the Rfam family "Bacterial small subunit ribosomal RNA", at positions 29 to 507 of the family's 1533-position model. The record is from RNAcentral.
AACGAACGCUGGCGGCGUGCCUAACACAUGCAAGUCGAACGAGAAAGGGGCUUCGGCUCCGAGUAAAGUGGCGCACGGGUGAGUAACACGUGGGUAACCUGCCUCUAAGAUUGGGAUAACUCGUCGAAAGAUGAGCUAAUACCGAAUAAGACCACAGUUCCCGCGGGAACAGGGGUCAAAGGUAGCCUCUGCUUGCAAGCUAUCACUUAGAGUUGGGCCUGCGCACCAUUAGCUAGUUGGUAGGGUAACGGCCUACCAAGGCAAAGAUGGUUAGCUGGUCUGAGAGGAUGAUCAGCCACACUGGAACGGAGACACGGUCCAGACUCCUACGGGAGGCAGCAGGGGGGAAUAGUGCGGAAUGGGCGAGAGGUUGAAGAAGCAACGCCGCGGGAGGGAUGAAGGCCUUCGGGUCGGAAAGCACGGUCGGGAGGAACGAAUGCUCCUGAGGUUAACAGCCUCGGGAGGUGACGGUACCUUCAAAGGAAGCACCGGCUAACUCUGUG